RNAcentral lists this small nuclear RNA (268 nucleotides) under Peromyscus maniculatus bairdii (prairie deer mouse). RNAcentral's name for it is "7SK RNA (ENSPEMG00000006181.2)". It matches the Rfam family "7SK RNA". Rfam says of the family: 7SK was discovered as an abundant small nuclear RNA in the mid-70s but a possible function has only recently been suggested. The record is from RNAcentral. Lineage: Eukaryota; Metazoa; Chordata; Mammalia; Rodentia; Cricetidae.
GAAUGUCAAGCAGAACUGGCUUUUUUCUAUUAUCCUAUUCACUACCAUGGUUGAUUUGGCUGAUAUAACUGGUAAGUGGAUGCCCCCUUCUUCCCUCAUCACUCCAUGUAUGUCCCUCCCAAAGCUUCAAAGAAGAUGACCUUCCCUGAAGGAUGAGGACCAGUUUUCAGUCCAGAAUAUGUGAACAGUUAGGUGUGCUUUCUUGCUAGAACCUUCAAAUAAGUUCUCAGGAGACAAAAAUGUGCUACUUACAAACUCUGUCAGGGAC